Molecule: ribosomal RNA, 576 nt
Filed under: uncultured bacterium
Lineage: Bacteria
Description: partial 16S ribosomal RNA
Rfam family: Bacterial small subunit ribosomal RNA
Source: RNAcentral
UGGGGAAUUUUGGACAAUGGGCGAAAGCCUGAUCCAGCAAUGCCGCGUGUGUGAAGAAGGCCUUCGGGUUGUAAAGCACUUUUGUCCGGAAAGAAAUCCUUGGCUCUAAUACAGUCGGGGGAUGACGGUACCGGAAGAAUAAGCACCGGCUAACUACGUGCCAGCAGCCGCGGUAAUACGUAGGGUGCAAGCGUUAAUCGGAAUUACUGGGCGUAAAGCGUGCGCAGGCGGUUUGCUAAGACCGAUGUGAAAUCCCCGGGCUCAACCUGGGAACUGCAUUGGGUGACUGGCAGGCUAGAGUAUGGCAGAGGGGGGUAGAAUUCCACGUGUAGCAGUGAAAUGCGUAGAGAUGUGGAGGAAUACCGAUGGCGAAGGCAGCCCCCUGGGCCAAUACUGACGCUCAUGCACGAAAAGCGUGGGGGAGCAAAACAGGAUUAGAUACCCUGGUAGUCCACGCCCUAAAACGAUGUCAACUAGUUGUUGGGGAUUCAUUUCCUUAGUAACGUAGCUAACGCGUGAAGUUGACCGCCUGGGGGAGUACGGUCGCAAGAUUAAAACUUAAAUGAAUUGACGGGG